UACGAGGGGGGCAAAUGUUGUUCGGAAUCACUGGGCGUAAAGGGAGCGUAGGCGGGUUUCUAAGUCAGGUGUUUAAUCCCGGGGCCCAACCCCGGACAGGCACUUGAAACUGGGAAUCUUGAAUAGUGGAGAGGUCAGUGGAAUUGGGGGUGUAGCGGUGGGAUGCGUAGAGAUCCCCAAGAACACCAGUUGCGAAGGCGGCUGACUGGACACAUAUUGACGCUGAGGCUCGAAAGCAUGGGGAGCAAACAGG
This 253-nucleotide ribosomal RNA is filed under the name uncultured bacterium. RNAcentral describes it as "partial 16S ribosomal RNA". It matches the Rfam family "Bacterial small subunit ribosomal RNA", at positions 524 to 776 of the family's 1533-position model. The record is from RNAcentral.